GUCAGCCGCAGAAGGGGAAGGAGUCUUUAACUUCUCCACAGAAAAAGCCAUUACAUUAUUUUCAGGGGUGGGGAGCCAGUGACCCUACACCAAAUGUUGGUGAAUCUCCCCAAUUCCCAUCACUGGCUGGGGAUGGUGGGAGUUGGGACUCCAGCAACAUCUGGAGGGGCCACAAGUUUAUAGUCGUCUAUCACAUCCCCCAUCUUACUCACCAUUUUUCUAAACUAAGAAGUUCCUAAGUAAUGAAACCUGUUGCUAAACAUUUUAUGCUUCAUUUCCACCUUUCACACAUGAACUUAAAAAAUGCAGGAGCAGGACACUGAGUCGGCAGCUUUCAAUACAAAUGUGCGUUGGAUACUUACCACGAAUGCUCCUUCUGGGGCGAGGGUGGCAGGCCUCCAGUACAACCAUGGGUUGAGGCCCCCACUGCCAGGGAGAGGCAGGUCCCAUGGUAAACAGAAAUCAGAUUUUUUUAAAAGACUAAUUUAUAAUAUAGAAAUAAAUUGGGGCUUGUUACAAAAUGCUGCAGUAUGAUGCACAGCCAGCAAGCCAUGCUCUCUUCCAGCAUACUCCAUUCCAUUCGCCCUCCUCCAUUUUAUUCCUGUCCCAUCCAUCCCACCAGCAUUCUGUGCCCACAGAACACGCUCCGUCCUCGUCAGGCUCUUUUGGGCUGUCCCCUUCCCACCAUAGGCUUUUUCCUUAAUAUUUCUUGUACUUCUGCAAACUUUGGAGGAUCCCAAAGCCUUCUGACAGCAUCCCUCUUCUAUCUAAGGAUCCACACUUUGAGAACCUGUGCAGUACAUGUUCCUCGGUUCUCGAACGUCUCUGCUGACGAAUGUUUCGGAACCUGAACGCCGAAAACCCAGAAGUAAAUGCUUCCGUUUUCGAACGCGCCUUGGAGGUCGAACGGCUUCCGCUGCGUGUUUUUCAGUUUUCUCAAUUGAAAUUGGAGACAGCCCUUUGCGCCUCGGUUUUCGAACGUUUCAGAAGUCAAACGGUCUUCUGGAAUGGAUUACGUUCGAGAACCGAGGUACCACUGUAUUUGCAUACACAGGUGGGGCCCUCCAACAAAAUGCUGCUGUGUGGAAGUGCUUCUGUUCAAAGUCAGAUUGCCCUGUUCCAGAGUUGUUAUUUUAUUAAUUUGCAGAUGUUGGGCGGACACGCCGGUUGCCCAAUCCCAGCUAGAUUUCUUCACUGAUUCUGGGAAAAACAGCCUACUCCAUUCAGACUGUCCCAUUCCCCCCACCACAGGAGACACAUCUUGCCCUAUGAGGAGGGGAAAGAAUGCAAAUGGGCAACAGACAACAGGGCCUGCUCUAGUCAGACUACCCCCAUCCCACUUUUAU
This is a non-coding RNA of Podarcis lilfordi (Lilford's wall lizard), 1346 nucleotides long. NCBI's taxonomy places the organism in Eukaryota, Metazoa, Chordata, Lepidosauria, Squamata, Lacertidae. The record is from the annotation of a GenBank genome assembly.